RNAcentral lists this small RNA (27 nucleotides) under Bombyx mori (domestic silkworm). RNAcentral describes it as "ovarian small RNA-24444". Lineage: Eukaryota; Metazoa; Arthropoda; Insecta; Lepidoptera; Bombycidae. The record is from RNAcentral.
UCAAAGACUUUCCAUUGGAAGUUUUGC